ACGAACGCUGGCGGCAUGCCUAACACAUGCAAGUCGAACGAGACCUUCGGGUCUAGUGGCGCACGGGUGCGUAACGCGUGGGAACCUGCCCUUAGGUUCGGAAUAACUCCCCGAAAGGGGUGCUAAUACCGGAUAAUGUCUUCGGACCAAAGAUUUAUCGCCUUUGGGUGGGCCCGCGUUGGAUUAGCUAGUUGGUAGGGUAAAAGCCUACCAAGGCGACGAUCCAUAGCUGGUCUGAGAGGAUGAUCAGCCACACUGGGACUGAGACACGGCCCAGACUCCUACGGGAGGCAGCAGUGGGGAAUAUUGGACAAUGGGCGAAAGCCUGAUCCAGCAAUGCCGCGUGAGUGAUGAAGGCCUUAGGGUUGUAAAGCUCUUUUACCCGGGAUGAUAAUGACAGUACCGGGAGAAUAAGCUCCGGCUAACUCCGUG
Molecule: ribosomal RNA, 432 nt
Filed under: uncultured bacterium
Lineage: Bacteria
Description: partial 16S ribosomal RNA
Rfam family: Bacterial small subunit ribosomal RNA
Source: RNAcentral